This 1973-nucleotide long non-coding RNA is filed under the name Bemisia tabaci. RNAcentral's name for it is "lncRNA ENSSSA1NGG003643". Lineage: Eukaryota; Metazoa; Arthropoda; Insecta; Hemiptera; Aleyrodidae. The record is from RNAcentral.
AUGCGUGACUUGAUGGGAGGAGGAGUUGGGGUAAUGAGUCUGAUACUCGUUGGCAUCUGGUGUAUUUCAACUAACUUAGAGUUUGUCGGGGCUGGAGUAACCGUUGAGAUGAGCAAGAAAGGUGACCACUUCAAAUACAUAUACGACAGUUUUAAAAUGGACGCAACCCCAACUUUUCUAAUCUCCUCUAAAAGCUCCGGACGAAUUCUGCCGAAUUUAAGCACAGUGACGUCAAGAAUUGGCUCAUCAAGAAUCUUGAAUGCUGCAGAACCUCCGGAAAAACCUAAUCCAAUCGCAUCUGAACAUGAUUCGCUCGCAAACAUUCAACGAAGAAUUGUAGUCCUGAGAAAUCCAAGCUAUGAAAUGUCAGAAAAAUAUACUGAAAAACUUGCACCGAUCGAAACAAACUCGUUGGCGACGAGAGAGGCUCCCACGAGUAUUUGGCAGACAGUGAUAAAUAUUCUCAUUGGUACGAAUGAGGAUAGUGACAAUACAGGUACCUUGAAGUUUUCCACCACUAUCUAUAUUUUAACUGUUUUUUUAGGAAGAGAGUUUUUCAUUAUGAGAGGGAUUUUGGUAAAAAAAGAGAGGAGCCUUAAGGGACCGUCCCUGAAUUACGUUAACGCUAAAUUUAUGGGUUUUUAACACCCCUCAAUCUUCGUAACGCUCCGUAACGCUGCGUUAGACCCUGAAAAAUCACGUAACGCUAGUCCGGAACCCCCCCCCCCAUUUAAAAAAAAUAUUCAAAAUAUCAUCUUACAGUCACUGUACAGAUUGGCGUUUCUAUUUAGUGAGGAAAAGUGAAAGUAUCACAGAGAAUAUUUCCGAAAUUAUUUAAAACUUUUAAAAACGACCGACGAAAAAUUCUACAGAAACUCGGAACAAAAUCUCUUAAACUCGUUACGUAACUCAACGCUCUAUCGUCUAUACCCCCCCCCCCCCCCCCCGAGGGGCGUAACGUAAUUAAGGGUCAUAAAUCUCAUACAGAGUAAGAACAACGUAAACAUUUUGAGUGAGGGGAAAGUUACUUUUAACAAUUCGACCGUGUAUCAUACAAACGACUAAUUUCAUCCUAAUCUCAAAAAGGCUAUCGCGUUACGAGCAAGUUAUCUGAAAAGGUCUACUUAUUACGCCCGUAAGAAGUAAAAUGUUAGUAGAUUUUAUUUUUGUUCGAGUGAAUUUUUAACGGAAGAAUGAGUCACAAUUAGCCAAAAUUUCGAAGAUGAAACUAUAAAGAAAAGCAUUGCCAUUGAUGUAUACCUAAAUUUAAUGUCACAUAUUUUUUUGCUUCCAUUGAUAAUAUCUUAACUGACGAUCAUUACUAUUGCAUAGAGUUUUUUGUAAUACGUAUUAGAAUUUUCAAGAAUAUUCUCCAAAAAUUUAUCUAAAUAUACUUGAUGUGUACUCUUUGAAAAAAUAAAGAUAAUUGUGGAACAUAAAAUAUGCAUGCAUGUUUUUCUGGUUUUACCGUAGCCACGCAAUUGAACGCCCUACUCUUGGAUCAUGCGGAAUCUGCAAUUAUCUCUAGCCGCCAAGCAAAUUUCAUAUCCGAGGAAUCGAAGGCGCUUUAAAUUUUUCAAGCCUUCUUACACUUGCUCAUUCCAUGGAAAACUCUAUAAUCAGUUCCUAGAAGUUUCUAAAAAUGAUAGGUAACACUGUAAUUUCAGUGCCAUUCAUAGGCCUCGUUCAAUAAAAAGUGUAGAUAUUGUAUUAAAUUAAAGAAUAGAAUGUGUAGAAUCGUACCUGAUUUGGUUCACCGGUGUACUUGUACUCCUUUUCGGAGUUCCGAAGAAAUGUUGAGAUUUUUUUCUCUUCACCUUCCUUUUCAGUCGAGGCCUCUUUUUUAUCUACCUCUUCUUCUUCGGGCACCUCCUCAACGACUUCCAUCGCUGCAAAAUCAUUGAUCAUUACAGCCUAAAACCAUGUUUACAGUAUAUUCGGAGAAAAUUUAAAAAAAAUAAGUGGUAAACUAG